GAUCUUUAUAUAUUAUAAAUUUUAAUAAAAGAAAGAUAAAUAUUUUUAUAAAAAUUUAUUUAUAUUAUAUUGGGGUAAUAAUAAAAUUUUAUAAAUUUUUAUUUUUUAAAAACAAUUUAAUUGAAUUUUUGAUCCAUUAUUAUUGAUUAAAAAAUUAAGUUACCUUAGGGAUAACAGCAUAAUGAUUUUUAAGAGUUCUUAUCAAUAAAAUAGUUUGU
Molecule: ribosomal RNA, 218 nt
Filed under: Micropygomyia atroclavata
Lineage: Eukaryota; Metazoa; Arthropoda; Insecta; Diptera; Psychodidae
Description: partial 16S ribosomal RNA
Source: RNAcentral